Molecule: long non-coding RNA, 301 nt
Organism: Amphibalanus amphitrite
Lineage: Eukaryota; Metazoa; Arthropoda; Thecostraca; Balanomorpha; Balanidae
Exons: 2
Source: RefSeq, a predicted model, not a curated record
AUACAGGACGUCGCCGGCGCUAUCCGCACCCUGAGGCAGGCGCAGCGGCCCCCGAGCGCUCCGAAGCGACACGUAUACCGGUGCCCGGAGUGCUCGGAGGAGAUCCAGGACUUCCGCCGACACUUCACUCGUCACUUCCCGAGGACGUUGGCUGAGUUCCUGCGGGCUGACGCAAACAAGGAGGUCGUCGCUCGGCCUGCUGCAUUCUAAUCAGUACAAUCGGUAUCUCUACCUAAUUUUGUGCAAUUUUACAAUGCUGUGAUAUGCACUGUGAUAUAGAAUAAACGUUUUUUUAUCCUUG